This is a long non-coding RNA of Mytilus trossulus (common blue mussel), 491 nucleotides long. RefSeq lists it as uncharacterized. The transcript has 3 exons. Lineage: Eukaryota; Metazoa; Mollusca; Bivalvia; Mytilida; Mytilidae. The record is from RefSeq and is a predicted model, not a curated record.
UCACCUGAAGAAAAACAUAUUUGUUAACACUGAAAGUAGAUACCGUCUGGGGGAGGAUAUCCAAAAUGGGAGACAAGGCAGUAACAUCUUAAACACACCAACAAAAAGUGCAGUAGAGUGGGUAUCGAUUUGUAAAAAGCAUUACGGCAGGUAUCCUGGAAACCACAGAAAUUAUCCUGACAAGAUCACAGACAAACACAUAAAACUCCUGCAAGCUUUAUGUAAAAGUUCAUCCUUUAUAGAAGUUAUAUCACACAGAGAAUGAACAGACGGGUCAAUACACAUUUGAUGGCCAACAAACCAGACUACAUUCGUGAAAUAUGACUUAAUUGAAAGGAAUAUCUAAGUUUUUCAUCGAUUUUAUGUCUGUGAAGUGAGUGUAAUAACGGUUUGUCAGUAGGAAUUACAUAAUGCCAUUAGAACGAUAACAAUAUAACCCGAGGACAAACCAACUACAGCUUCUAUCAAAAGUAGUAGAGAGAAAUUAACAA